RNAcentral lists this ribosomal RNA (458 nucleotides) under uncultured bacterium. RNAcentral describes it as "bacterial SSU rRNA". It matches the Rfam family "Bacterial small subunit ribosomal RNA", at positions 29 to 506 of the family's 1533-position model. The record is from RNAcentral.
GUGAACGCUGGCGGCGUGCUUAACACAUGCAAGUCGAACGGAUAAAAUAAGCUUGCUUAUUUUGUUAGUGGCGCACGGGUGAGUAAUAUAUAGCUAAUCUGCCCUUUAGUGGGGGACAACAGUUGGAAACGACUGCUAAUACCCCAUACUCCUUCUUGUCUUAAGAUAAGUUGGGAAAGAUUUAUCGCUAAAGGAUGGGGCUUUAUUGUAUCAGUUAGUUGGUGAGGUAAUGGCUCACCAAGGCAAUGACGGGUAGCGGUUCUGAGAGGAUGAUCCGCCACACUGGUACUGAGACACGGACCAGACUCCUACGGGAGGCAGCAGUGAGGAAUAUUGCACAAUGGGGGGAACCCUGAUGCAGCAACGCCGCGUGGAGGAUGACGCAUUUCGGUGUGUAAACUCCUUUUAUAUGUCAAGAAAAUGACGGUAGCAUAUGAAUAAGCACCGGCUAACUCCGU